GAUGAAGAACGCAGCGAAAUGCGAUACGUAAUGUGAAUUGCAGAAUUCAGUGAAUCAUCGAAUCUUUGAACGCAUAUUGCGCUCUCUGGUAUUCCGGGGGGCAUGCCUGUUCGAGCGUCAUUUCACCACUCAAGCCUCGCUUGGUAUUGGGCAUCGCGGUCCGCCGCGCGCCUCAAAUCGACCGGCUGGGUCUUCUGUCCCCUAAGCGUUGUGGAAACUAUUCGCUAAAGGGUGUUCGGGAGGCUACGCCGUAAAACAACCCCAUUUCUAAGGUUGACCUCGGAUCAGGUAGGGAUACCCGCUGAACUUAAGCAUAUCAAUAAGCGGAGGA
RNAcentral lists this unclassified non-coding RNA (331 nucleotides) under soil metagenome. RNAcentral describes it as "partial contains 5.8S ribosomal RNA, internal transcribed spacer 2, and large subunit ribosomal RNA". The stretch from base 1 to 120 matches the Rfam family "5.8S ribosomal RNA", at positions 35 to 154 of the family's 154-position model. The record is from RNAcentral.